GUAAUAAUCCUGUAGUCGAAAAUGUUGUCUCUCUUGAGUGGAUCCUGAGUACGACGGAGCACGUGAAAUUCCGUCGGAAUCUGGGAGGACCAUCUCCUAAGGCUAAAUACUCUCUAGUGACCGAUAGUGAACCAGUACCGUGAGGGAAAGGUGAAAAGCACCCCGGAAGGGGAGUGAAAUAGAACCUGAAACCGUGUGCUUACAAGUAGUCAGAGCCCGUUAAUGGGUGAUGGCGUGCCUUUUGUAGAAUGAACCGGCGAGUUACGAUUUGAUGCAAGGUUAAGCAGUAAAUGUGGAGCCGUAGCGAAAGCGAGUCUGAAUAGGGCGUUUAGUAUUUGGUCGUAGACCCGAAACCAGGUGAUCUACCCUUGGUCAGGUUGAAGUUCAGGUAACACUGAAUGGAGGACCGAACCGACUUACGUUGAAAAGUGAGCGGAUGAACUGAGGGUAGCGGAGAAAUUCCAAUCGAACCUGGAGAUAGCUGGUUCUCUCCGAAAUAGCUUUAGGGCUAGCCUCAAGUGAUGAUUAUUGGAGGUAGAGCACUGUUUGGACGAGGGGCCCCUCUCGGGUUACCGAAUUCAGACAAACUCCGAAUGCCAAUUAAUUUAACUUGGGAGUCAGAACAUGGGUGAUAAGGUCCGUGUUCGAAAGGGAAACAGCCCAGACCACCAGCUAAGGUCCCAAAAUAUAUGUUAAGUGGAAAAGGAUGUGGCGUUGCCCAGACAACUAGGAUGUUGGCUUAGAAGCAGCCAUCAUUUAAAGAGUGCGUAAUAGCUCACUAGUCGAGUGACACUGCGCCGAAAAUGUACCGGGGCUAAACAUAUUACCGAAGCUGUGGAUUGUCCUUUGGACAAUGGUAGGAGAGCGUUCU
Molecule: ribosomal RNA, 871 nt
Filed under: Staphylococcus aureus
Lineage: Bacteria; Bacillati; Bacillota; Bacilli; Caryophanales; Staphylococcaceae
Also listed under: 1 other name
Description: partial 23S ribosomal RNA
Rfam family: Bacterial large subunit ribosomal RNA
Source: RNAcentral